CGUAACUAUAACGGUCCUAAGGUAGCGAAAUUCCUUGUCGGGUAAGUUCCGACCCGCACGAAAGGCGUAAUGAUUUGAGCGCUGUCUCGACAAUGCAUCCGGUGAAAUUGAAGUACCAGUGAAGAUGCUGGUUACCUGCGCCAGGACGGAAAGACCCCAUGGAGCUUUACUCCAGUUUGGUACUGGGAUCCGGUACUGCAUGUACAGGAUAGGUGGGAGGCUGUGAAAUAGUAACGCCAGUUAUUAUGGAGCCGCUGUUGGGAUACCACCCUUGCAGUAUUGGGUUUCUAACCAGCCGCCGUGACCCGGCGGUGGGACAAUGCCAGACGGGGAGUUUGACUGGGGCGGUCGCCCCCGAAAGGGUAUCGGAGGCGCCCAAAGGUUCCCUCAGAAUGGACGGAAACCAUUCGAAGAGUGCAAAGGCAGAAGGGAGCUUGACUGCGACACCGACGGGUGGAGCAGGUACGAAAGUAGGGCUUAGUGAUCCGGUGGUAUUAAGUGGGAAUGCCAUCGCUCAACGGAUAAAAGCUACCCUGGGGAUAACAGGCUUAUCACUCCCAAGAGUUCACAUCGACGGAGUGGUUUGGCACCUCGAUGUCGGCUCAUCGCAUCCUGGGGCUGUAGUAGGUCCCAAGGGUUGGGCUGUUCGCCCAUUAAAGCGGUACGCGAGCUGGGUUCAGAACGUCGUGAGACAGUUCGGUCCCUAUCCGGCGUGGGCGUAGGAUAUCUGAGAGGAGCUGUCCUUAGUACGAGAGGACCGGGAUGGACGGGCCGCUGGUGCACCGGUUAGACUGCCAAGUCUAUAGCCGGGUAGCCAAGCCCGGAAGGGAUAAACGCUGAAGGCAUCUAAGCGUGAAGCCCCCCUCAAGAUGAGAUAUCCCAUCCGAAAGGAGUAAACCCCCUUGAAGACGACGAGGUUGAUAGGGCAGGGGUGGAAGUGUGGUAACACAUGGAGCUGACUGCUACUAAUAGGGUGAGGGCUUGACCAA
This 989-nucleotide ribosomal RNA is filed under the name Carnobacterium sp. N15.MGS-251. Its description in RNAcentral is "bacterial LSU rRNA". It matches the Rfam family "Bacterial large subunit ribosomal RNA", at positions 1935 to 2925 of the family's 2925-position model. Lineage: Bacteria; Bacillati; Bacillota; Bacilli; Lactobacillales; Carnobacteriaceae. The record is from RNAcentral.